RNAcentral lists this ribosomal RNA (351 nucleotides) under uncultured bacterium. RNAcentral's name for it is "partial 16S ribosomal RNA". It matches the Rfam family "Bacterial small subunit ribosomal RNA", at positions 338 to 681 of the family's 1533-position model. The record is from RNAcentral.
CCUACGGGAGGCAGCAGUAGGGAAUCUUCCACAAUGGGCGAAAGCCUGAUGGAGCAACGCCGCGUGGGUGAAGAAGGUCUUCGGAUCGUAAAACCCUGUUGGUAGAGAAGAAAGUGCGUGAGAGUAACUGUUCACGUAUCGACGGUAUCGAACCAGAAAGCCACGGCUAACGACGUGCCAGCAGCCGCGGUAAUACGUAGGUGGCAAGCGUUAUCCGGAUUUAUUGGGCGUAAAGGGAACGGAGGCGGUCUUUUAAGUCUGAUGUGAAAGCCUUCGGCUUAACCGGAGUAGUGCCUUGGAUACUGGGAGACUUGAGUGCAGCAGCGGCGAGUGGAACUCCAUGUGUAGCGG